This 484-nucleotide ribosomal RNA is filed under the name uncultured bacterium. Its description in RNAcentral is "partial 16S ribosomal RNA". It matches the Rfam family "Bacterial small subunit ribosomal RNA", at positions 30 to 507 of the family's 1533-position model. The record is from RNAcentral.
AUUGAACGCUGGCGGCAGGCCUAACACAUGCAAGUCGAGCGGAUGAAGGGAGCUUGCUCCUGGAUUCAGCGGCGGACGGGUGAGUAAUGCCUAGGAAUCUGCCUGGUAGUGGGGGAUAACGUCCGGAAACGGGCGCUAAUACCGCAUACGUCCUGAGGGAGAAAGUGGGGGAUCUUCGGACCUCACGCUAUCAGAUGAGCCUAGGUCGGAUUAGCUAGUUGGUGGGGUAAGGGCCUACCCAGCCGUCGAUCCGUAACUGGUCUGAGAGGAUGAUCAGUCACACUGGAACUGAGACACGGUCCAGACUCCUACGGGAGGCAGCAGUGGGGAAUAUUGGACAAUGGGCGAAAGCCUGAUCCAGCCAUGCCGCGUGUGUGAAGAAGGUCUUCGGAUUGUAAAGCACUUUAAGUUGGGAGGAAGGGCAGUAAGUCAAUACCUUGCUGUUUUGACGUUACCAACAGAAUAAGCACCGGCUAACUUCGUG